AAAUGCGAUAAGUAAUGUGAAUUGCAGAAUUCAGUGAAUCAUCGAAUCUUUGAACGCACCUUGCGCUCCUUGGUAUUCCUUGGAGCAUGCCUGUUUGAGUAUCAUGAAAUCUUCAAAGUAAAUCUUUUGUUAACUCAAUUGGUUUCUACUUUGGUAUUGGAGGUCUUUGCAGCUUCACACCUGCUCCUCUUUGUUCAUUAGCUGGAUCUCAGUGUUAUGCUUGGUUCCACUCGGCGUGAUAAGUUAUCUAUCACUGAGGACACUGUAAAAGGUGGCCAAGGUAAAUGCAGAUGAACCGCUUCUAAUAGUCCAUUGACUUGGACAAUACUUUUAUGAUCUGAUCUCAAAUCAGGUAGGACUACCCGCUGAACUUAAGC
This 377-nucleotide unclassified non-coding RNA is filed under the name plant metagenome. RNAcentral describes it as "partial contains 5.8S ribosomal RNA, internal transcribed spacer 2, and large subunit ribosomal RNA". The stretch from base 1 to 104 matches the Rfam family "5.8S ribosomal RNA", at positions 51 to 154 of the family's 154-position model. The record is from RNAcentral.